This 253-nucleotide ribosomal RNA is filed under the name uncultured bacterium. RNAcentral describes it as "partial 16S ribosomal RNA". It matches the Rfam family "Bacterial small subunit ribosomal RNA", at positions 524 to 776 of the family's 1533-position model. The record is from RNAcentral.
UACAUGGGGUGCAAACGUUGCUCGGAAUCAUUGGGCGUAAAGCGCACGUAGGCGGCCACUUAAGUCGGAUGUGAAAUCCCUCGGCUUAACCGAGGAAGUGCAUCCGAAACUGAAUGGCUUGAGUACGAAAGAGGGUCGCGGAAUUCCCGGUGUAGAGGUGAAAUUCGUAGAUAUCGGGAGGAACACCGGCGGCGAAGGCGGCGACCUGGUUCGAGACUGACGCUGAGGUGCGAAAGCGUGGGGAGCAAACAGG